RNA transcript from Populus nigra (black poplar), 1212 nucleotides. RefSeq lists it as uncharacterized. Lineage: Eukaryota; Viridiplantae; Streptophyta; Magnoliopsida; Malpighiales; Salicaceae. The record is from RefSeq and is a predicted model, not a curated record. The transcript has 2 exons.
UAAUAUUUCGAUUUUCUUUUUUUUCUUUUAUUUUCUUUUGAUCAAUCAAGGAUUUACCUGUCUUUAUUUCUUUUGUCUUCAUGAUCUUGCAUGUCGGAUCUUAAUAACUUCUGUUUUUUUCUCGAGAAAUAAACAGAUAAUUUUCAAUUUCUCUUUUUCUCUUGCCCCUUUUCACCUCAGAAAUCAAGAAAGAAACCUAAUAUUUCAUUACGGUGUCAAUGAUUUAAUAAUCGAACUUUGAGUUGUUUACCCAUCGAAAGUUAGGGUUCGUGAAAUUGAAAUUACUAUUUAGGAUUGAUCAUAAUUUCAGCUUUGUAUUUGGGAUCUUGCAACACAGUUCUAAUUAUUUUUUAUUUUUCUGGGAAUACAUUUAAUUGAUUAAUAAUGGGUCCAUUGAUGUAAUUGGAAAAAAAAAAAUCAAGCAAGUCAAGUUUUGAGUUUGAGUUGAUUUUGAUUGGAUUCAACUUGAUAUUGACGACAAGAAAGUAAAUAAAUAAAUAAAUAUAUGUACUUGGUUGGGAGAAGAAUGUAAAAAAAGUGAUUGGCUUGGCUAAUUGUAGUGGAAUCUAUCCCUGGUGUGUUUUGGGGGAAUGAAAUAAGGAGAAGCUGAAAAAGCGAAGAAAAAUGGAUGAGGAAGAGACUGUAAAACUCUCUCCCUCCCUCUCCUCUGGGUUAGGAACAGAGAAGUGUGUAUCAGUAGUUUGGAUGAGGAAAAAGUCAGACAUUUUAUGGAUAACAAAGCAGCUUGUGAGGAGAUUUCUCAGGAACUUGCACGGGAGUCACUUAUUGGUAUAUCUUAUUGCCUACCAGAUAAGAUUCAAAAUUCAGAAGGUGUGCCUCAGAGUGUCAAUGACGAGGAAAAGCUUCCAGUCAUAAAUGGUGAUGGAGCUGAAAAGUAUAGAUCAGAACUAAUUUCCAUUUCAGACAUUCAAUCACCUGAUACUGCAACAUCACCAGUGGCAUCAGAGAACCACGAGGGUUAGCAAGAACCAGUCUUUCCCUGAAAAGUUGUUGUAGCAUAUUCUCCUGGUUUAAUUUCUCGCAGAACUCUUAACUGUUGUGUUUUGGGUUUAAACCAAUGACUGGUUGUGCUGUCUGCUUCUGUUGAUAUUAAUACAAACAAGAAAAUACAGAAGUUUUAUGUACAGAUUACGGUACUUAUUACUGUAAAAGAAGUUUUUCUAUAAAAAAAAAACAGAUGUGUUUCGGUAA